CAGCAAGGCUUGGAGACAACGUAGCACCUCGGAGGGCUGGGCUCCCAAAAGCUCUUUCUCUCGGCUCAGACACCACCAUCCUUUUCCCUGAAAGAGUACAUCCCAGUGGUCCCCAAAGGGCCAUAAGUGCUUCCUUGUCUUGAUUUCCACCUCCUCUCGAGGGAGUAGGGUGGGCAGUGUCCCCCAGGGCAGGGUCCCUGAGGCCAUGGAGGUUAUAACAGUCUCAGCUUAUGUGGGUUACAGCUCCAGCAUCAGCGGAGACCACCCCAGUGCAACUGCAUCCUCUGAAAGUGCUUCCCUGUGGCCGGGUCCUCCAGAAAUCAGGCAGGGGUCUUUCAUCCAGCCUAAUCACGGUGAGAUUUGGGAUUCUGCUAAGAGCGAAAGUGCUGGAAUGUUACGGCAGUGGACGAGUGGAGGAGGAGCUGAAAUGCCAAGUGAAGUGCAAAUGGCAAAGUCCUGAUGGAAGGAAGGUGUGUCAGAAUUUGACGCCAAAAUCUGCAUGUGCUGUGACAAAACUAGCUGGUACGACGGCACCUCUUGCAUUGGCACAGAUGAGACCAUUUUAAAGCCACUUAGAAGUUUACCAAGGCAUGCUUAACAUGCGCUAUUUCUAACAACACGAAAAGAACUGAGAGGUAACAUACACCCCUGGGGUGUCUUGAACCCAUUUUUGCUUCCAGGGAGAAGGGCAGUUCCUGGCAGACCCUGAUAAGACAGGACUCCCUGGAUUUUUAUUUUUUAUUUGUUUAUUUAUUUAUUUUGUCUUUUUAGGGCCACACCUGCAGCAUAUGGAGGUUCCCAGGCUAGGGGUCUAAUCAGAGCUGUAGCCGCCGGCCUACACCACAGCCACAGCCACACGGGAUCCGAGCCGCAUCUGCGACCUACAUCACAGCUCACAGCAACGCUGGAUCCUUAACCCACCGAGCGAGGCCAGGGAUCAAACUCGCAACCUCAUGGUUCCUAGUCAGAUUCGUUUCCGCCGCGCCACGAUGGGAACUCCCUCCCUUGAUUUUUAAAGCUAAACCUCAAACACGAUGGAGGAUGAUGUGGGAAAAAGAAUAUAUGUAUCUGUAUAUCUGGGUCACUUCGCUGUACAGUAGAAAUGGACAGAACACUCUAAAUCAACUAUAAUGCAGAAAACAAAAGUUGGAAAAAAAUAAAAUAAAAUAAAGCAGGACA
RNAcentral lists this long non-coding RNA (1179 nucleotides) under Sus scrofa (pig). RNAcentral describes it as "lncRNA (ENSSSCG00055022131.1)". Lineage: Eukaryota; Metazoa; Chordata; Mammalia; Artiodactyla; Suidae. The record is from RNAcentral.